RNAcentral lists this ribosomal RNA (440 nucleotides) under uncultured bacterium. Its description in RNAcentral is "partial 16S ribosomal RNA". It matches the Rfam family "Bacterial small subunit ribosomal RNA", at positions 338 to 795 of the family's 1533-position model. The record is from RNAcentral.
CCUACGGGCGGCAGCAGUAGGGAAUAUUGCUCAAUGGGGGAAACCCUGAAGCAGCAACGCCGCGUGGAGGAUGACGGUUUUCGGAUUGUUAACUCCUUUUGUUAGAGAAGAUAAUGACGGUAUCUAACGAAUAAGCACCGGCUAACUCCGUGCCAGCAGCCGCGGUAAUACGGAGGGUGCACGCGUUACUCGGAAUCCCUGGGCGUAAAGAGCGCGUAGGCGGGAUAGCAAGUCAGAUGUGAAAUCCUAGGGCUUAACCAUAGAACUGCAUUUGAAACUGUUAUUCUAGAGUAUGGGAGAGGUAGGUGGAAUGCUUGGUGUAGGAGUAAAAUCCGUAGAGAUCAAGAGGAAUACUCAUGGCGAAGGCGACCUGCUGGAACAUAACUGACGCUGAUGCACGAAGGCGAGGGGAGCAAACAGGAUUAGAUACCCUGGUAGUC